GGCUUUUACCUGGUCUGCGAGAAAUCAAACUUUGGACACAAGUCAUGAAGCCGACAAGCCCGGGAGACACAGUGUCAGAAUUACAAGGUGAGAUCAGCCGCCCGGCCAAGCUAUCUUCUCGCUAGCAGGAACACUAUAAGGCCUGUUAGAGAAGAAAGGGUAGAAUCCCGAGAAUGUUUUCCCCACAGUGCUGAUAAGGAGAGACCACUAUCCCAUCUACUGCUACAGCUCUGGAGACAUAGCUCUCCCAUCUGUCAUAUAGAACACAAGGACCAAUCUGCAGAGAAAGAGCAUCCAAACCUGAUCCAGUGGACACUGGGGAAAAACUCACCACAGCUGAGUGUGGAAAAACAAGGCCAACACACACAUCUCUGCACAGAUACAUCUCCCAUCAAGAAACUAAAGUGUUAAUUUACAGGGCACUGUUGCAGACCCACUUCAGCUGGAAGCUAGGAACAUGGACAAGGAGCCUCUCUACCACCGAGGGAGAGAGAGGAAUGUGCUCUUGUCCUGGCAUUGCAUCCACAGGAGGGGCAAGAAAUUCUUUGAAGGUCCCGCAUCUGGGGCUCGAUCUCGUGCAGAGGAGCAUUUCCGAAGACACUGGCCGCUCCCACAAUGGCUCCGAAGACCCCAGCGACCAGCGAGUUCAUGAGUUUGUUGGGGUUGUCCGCUCGGUACCAGCUGCGCAGGGAUGUCAGGACAAAGAAACAAGUUGCCUG
Molecule: long non-coding RNA, 719 nt
Filed under: Pan troglodytes (chimpanzee)
Lineage: Eukaryota; Metazoa; Chordata; Mammalia; Primates; Hominidae
Description: lincRNA
Source: RNAcentral